RNAcentral lists this ribosomal RNA (487 nucleotides) under uncultured bacterium. Its description in RNAcentral is "bacterial SSU rRNA". It matches the Rfam family "Bacterial small subunit ribosomal RNA", at positions 8 to 488 of the family's 1533-position model. The record is from RNAcentral.
AGGGUUUGAUCAUGGCUCAGGAUGAACGCUAGCGGCAGGCCUUACACAUGCAAGUCGAACGGUAACAUAAUCAGCUUGCUGAUUGAUGACGAGUGGCGCACGGGUGCGUAACACGUAUGCAACCUACCUCUAACAGGGGGAUAGCCCAGAGAAAUUUGGAUUAAUACCCCAUAGUAUUAUUUAUUGGCAUCGAUAGAUAAUUAAAACUCCGGUGGUUAGAGAUGGGCAUGCGUUCUAUUAGCUAGUUGGUACGGUAACGGCGUACCAAGGCAACGAUAGAUAGGGGGCCUGAGAGGGUUAUCCCCCACACUGGUACUGAGACACGGACCAGACUCCUACGGGAGGCAGCAGUGAGGAAUAUUGGUCAAUGGAGGCAACUCUGAACCAGCCAUGCCGCGUGCAGGAAGACGGCCCUAUGGGUUGUAAACUGCUUUUGUAUGGGAAGAACUAGUUUUACGUGUAAGACUUUGACGGUACCAUACGAAUA